This 428-nucleotide ribosomal RNA is filed under the name uncultured bacterium. RNAcentral describes it as "bacterial SSU rRNA". It matches the Rfam family "Bacterial small subunit ribosomal RNA", at positions 340 to 761 of the family's 1533-position model. The record is from RNAcentral.
UACGGAAGGCAGCAGUGGGGAAUAUUGCACAAUGGGCGCAAGCCUGAUGCAGCCAUGCCGCGUGUAUGAAGAAGGCCUUCGGGUUGUAAAGUACUUUCAGUCGUGAGGAAGGUGUUAAGGUUAAUAACCUUAGCAAUUGACGUUAGCGACAGAAGAAGCACCGGCUAACUCCGUGCCAGCAGCCGCGGUAAUACGGAGGGUGCGAGCGUUAAUCGGAAUUACUGGGCGUAAAGGGCACGCAGGCGGUUAAUUAAGUUGGAUGUGAAAUCCCCGGGCUUAACCUGGGAAUGGCAUUCAAGACUGGUUAGCUAGAGUCUUGUAGAGGGGGUAGAAUUCCAUGUGUAGCGGUGAAAUGCGUAGAGAUGUGGAGGAAUACCGGUGGCGAAGGCGGCCCCUGGGACAAAGACUGACGCUCAUGUGCGAAAGCU